GAGCACGUACUAAUAUAUGACACUAUACCCAAGUCCAUAUAAUAUAGCUCAGCUCCCAAACCUAAUGCACUUUGGUGCUAUAAUAACAGAUCUGAAAUAAAGAACCAAGUGGUAUGCUAUAGAAGCAUUUUUACCUAGUUACUCGGCUAGUUGAGUGAUGUAGUAAGUUCUUUUACUUAUUUAGGCUUAGUAACCUGAUCCACAUAUUUCUUUGUUGGGAGAGCUGCUAAUAGCUAGAUUCCUAGAAAAAGUAUAUUAAAGUAAAUGAAAGGG
Molecule: long non-coding RNA, 273 nt
Filed under: Actinidia chinensis (golden kiwifruit)
Lineage: Eukaryota; Viridiplantae; Streptophyta; Magnoliopsida; Ericales; Actinidiaceae
Description: long non-coding RNA (ACHI_LNC003049)
Source: RNAcentral